AAAUACUUGAUUAGAUUUUUCCCUUUUCGUUUCGGGCUCUUAACUUCUCGCCUGUGUUAUGUCCACAACAGGGUCAACAUGUAAUUUGGCUCAGUUACUUCAUUUGCAUUUGUCACGCUCGUUAGUCCUACGGUAUUCCCAAUGGGAAGUACGUAGUUUUCGAUAUCCAAUGACAGUCACGUGACCGGAAUUCCUCACUGGACCCAAAAACAAAAAACUAACGCCGAGUAAAGUUCAAGUAAUGCUUACUAAGCUGAAAAGUUCUGUUCUCGCCGGAAUGCAGGCAUAGAAAUGUAUUUUUAAAAAUGUAACGCAGAAGCGACAACAUCACAGGACUUGGGACUCUUGGUCCUUGAGCUCAUAAAUAAAUAUAAAAAUUAUUGUAAUAGUUUUCAAGCUUCUGGUUGUACUUGGCAGCAGGCAGAGUAUAAACACCCAAGGAAAGCUCUCUGGGCUGAAAU
Drosophila melanogaster (fruit fly) is the source of this 461-nucleotide non-coding RNA. The record is from Ensembl. Lineage: Eukaryota; Metazoa; Arthropoda; Insecta; Diptera; Drosophilidae.